GCAAGAGUUCUUCGAUUUACAAGCGGAAGUUUGUCAAUCAGUUCAUCUAAUUUUUCGAAAUCAACUGUUGAUUCUACAGCUUGUGAAAAUUCAUUAAUCAGUUCAGGAACAAUCAAAGAUAUUAACAUCAGCACCAUUGUCAAUUAAAAAUUCAAUCAUCGGUAUCACGUCAUUUGAAUGUAAUUUAACAAGAUGAUAAAGUGGAGUACGAUUAAA
Leptopilina boulardi is the source of this 216-nucleotide long non-coding RNA. RefSeq lists it as uncharacterized. The transcript is spliced from 2 exons. The record is from RefSeq and is a predicted model, not a curated record. Lineage: Eukaryota; Metazoa; Arthropoda; Insecta; Hymenoptera; Figitidae.